UCGACGCGAGCACUUGUGCUCGAGUGGCGAACGGGUGAGUAAUACAUAAGUAACCUGCCCUAGACAGGGGGAUAACUAUUGGAAACGAUAGCUAAGACCGCAUAGGUACGGACACUGCAUGGUGACCGUAUUAAAAGUGCCUCAAAGCACUGGUAGAGGAUGGACUUAUGGCGCAUUAGCUGGUUGGCGGGGUAACGGCCCACCAAGGCGACGAUGCGUAGCCGACCUGAGAGGGUGACCGGCCACACUGGGACUGAGACACGGCCCAGACUCCUACGGGAGGCAGCAGUAGGGAAUUUUCGGCAAUGGGGGAAACCCUGACCGAGCAACGCCGCGUGAAGGAAGAAGGUUUUCGGAUUGUAAACUUCUGUUAUAUAGGAAGAACGGCGGCUA
RNAcentral lists this ribosomal RNA (393 nucleotides) under uncultured bacterium. RNAcentral describes it as "bacterial SSU rRNA". It matches the Rfam family "Bacterial small subunit ribosomal RNA", at positions 62 to 458 of the family's 1533-position model. The record is from RNAcentral.